CGGGUUAAGUCCCAUAACGAGCGCAACCCUUAUCGUUAGUUGCCAGCGGGGUAAAUGCCGGGAACUCUAACGAAACUGCCGGUGUAAACCGUGAGGAAGGUGGGGAUGACGUCAAAUCAGCACGGCCCUUAUGUCCAGGGCUACACACGUGUUACGAUGGCCGGUACAGAGGGCAGCUACCUGGAGACAGGAUGCGAAUCUCCAAAGCCGGUCUCAGUUCGGAUCGGAGUCUGCAACUCGACUCCGUGAAGCUGGAUUCGCUAGUAAUCGCGCAUCAGCCAUGGCGCGGUGAAUACGUUCCCGGGCCUU
Molecule: ribosomal RNA, 309 nt
Filed under: uncultured Sphingobacteriales bacterium
Lineage: Bacteria; Pseudomonadati; Bacteroidota; Sphingobacteriia; Sphingobacteriales
Description: bacterial SSU rRNA
Rfam family: Bacterial small subunit ribosomal RNA
Source: RNAcentral